Molecule: ribosomal RNA, 333 nt
Filed under: uncultured eukaryote
Lineage: Eukaryota
Description: partial 18S ribosomal RNA
Rfam family: Eukaryotic small subunit ribosomal RNA
Source: RNAcentral
CCCUUAGAUGUUCGGGGCCGCACGCGCGCUACACUGAAUGAAUCAGCGAGUGUAUGUCCUAGGCCGAAAGGUCCGGGUAACCCGUUGAACCUCAUUCGUGAUUGGGAUAGGGACUUGCAAUUGUUUCCCUUGAACGAGGAAUUCCCAGUAAGCGCAAGUCAUCAGCUUGCGUUGAUUACGUCCCUGCCCUUUGUACACACCGCCCGUCGCUACUAUCGAUUGAGCGGUUCAGUGAGGGCCUCGGAUUGGUCUCGGUCUGGCGUGCAAGCGCCGGCACCGUUGGCCGAGAAGACGCUCGAACUCGAUCGCUUGGAGAAAGUAAAAGUCGUAACA